Mauremys mutica (yellowpond turtle) is the source of this 822-nucleotide long non-coding RNA. RefSeq lists it as uncharacterized. The transcript is spliced from 3 exons. The record is from RefSeq and is a predicted model, not a curated record. NCBI's taxonomy places the organism in Eukaryota, Metazoa, Chordata, Testudines, Geoemydidae.
UGACUGACAACUUUUAUUCUCAGUUGGGUCAGCCAGGGCGAGCCUAUUGCCAUGGAAUGAUAACAGGUCAGGAAUCUGCACUGGAACAGAACAUUUAAUGCCGCCACUACAUUGUAGCGUGGCUGCUUAAACAUCCUGUGUAACAAGUUCUUCCUAUACAACUUGCACCUUCCACAGAACCAGAACACAGUUGCUGACACCCACAGGCCAGAAGCAGCACAGGCUGAAGACAGGAAGAUAGAAAGGGCGAAGUGAACUGAUCAGUGAAAGAGUGAAGGGACACACACAUCACACCAACAACAGAGAAUGCAGAAGCACUGUUAGCCGCAGAGAUGACAGAUUGCUGGAGACAAGAUAUUUUGGUUGUAAUAAUUGAAUCCUGCUUACAAAGGAACUCUGCACUUGAAAUGGUUAAUUCCUGUCCUUUUGACAGACUAAGUGUGGAGAGACACUUAAUGGACAUCAUGGGCAAUUUCCAUCAUCCUCUUGGAAUUCUAGAACAGAGUGCGGAAACCAGGAGAAUAAGGUACCUGCUGUGUGGACUGCUGACAGAGGGUCCAGGCUGUGAGACACUACAUUUGCCCCGUGGCUGUUUGCAAUGAACAGGGGGUAAAGAAAGAAGAAUGUUCAGUCCAGGCAAAUAAAGACAAGCUACUGAUGAAAUCAAAUUAAAAGUGCAGCAAAGGAAACAUAAAAUCAAAUGAAGUGACCAAUACCCAUGAACCAAGGAAACUGGCUUUUCUUCUGCUUCGAGCGGAAUAUGAAAAUGCUUUGAACAGACAAAAGAAACUUGACAGAAUGUUUUAAUCAUUAAAAUAAAAA